RNAcentral lists this long non-coding RNA (575 nucleotides) under Androctonus crassicauda. Lineage: Eukaryota; Metazoa; Arthropoda; Arachnida; Scorpiones; Buthidae. The record is from RNAcentral.
GCAUGUGUUCGAUGUUUUUCUUUCUGGAUUGCAUCGGUCCAGUUUCGUCAGGGUUGGUGGGUGGUCAGCUGUGUCCUCUCCUUGUUAGUGCUAUCAGAAUCAAAAUGUUAAAAUCUGCAAUGAAAAUAUACAAGAAUCCCCUCCACCAAAAAAUCCAAUGCAAUGUGCAUUGGUGCAGGAAGGAUGAUGAUGAUCUUUUUCUUUGACUGAACUGAACUACUUUCAACUUCCUGAAGAGUAGAGCUAUGAUGAAUGUGCAACACUACAAGAAAAUAUUGACCAUCUUAUGAUAGGCAAACAAGUUAAAAAGAUUGGAUACUUCUUGCAGCAUUAUCCUGUUUCAUGAUAAUAUCUGCCUCCACAUAAUAAAUGCUAUCAAAGAUCUCUUGAAGAAAUUGGAGUGGGAAGUCCUCACCAUCCUCCUGUAAUCCAGACCAAUCACCUUGUGGUUUCACAUCUUCGAUGAACUCAAGAAAGCUUUGUGUAGAUGCAAAUAUAAGACAGAUGAUGACCAUUUCACAUUAUAUCAACUUGCUCUCUUCUAAUCUAAAUAAGUAAAAAUGCACCAUGGGCGG